AGCGAACGCUGGCGGCAGGCCUAACACAUGCAAGUCGAACGAACUCUUCGGAGUUAGUGGCGGACGGGUGAGUAACACGUGGGAACGUGCCUUUUGGUUCGGAAUAACUCAGGGAAACUUGUGCUAAUACCGAAUGUGCCCUUCGGGGGAAAGAUUUAUCGCCAUUAGAGCGGCCCGCGUCUGAUUGGCUAGUUGGUGAGGUAACGGCUCACCAAGGCGACGAUCAGUAGCUGGUCUGAGAGGAUGACCAGCCACACUGGGACUGAGACACGGCCCAGACUCCUACGGGAGGCAGCAGUAGGGAAUCUUGCGCAAUGGGCGAAAGCCUGACGCAGCCAUGCCGCGUGAAUGAUGAAGGUCUUAGGAUUGUAAAAUUCUUUCACCGGGGACGAUAAUGACGGUACCCGGAGAAGAAGCCCCGGCUAACUUCGUG
RNAcentral lists this ribosomal RNA (433 nucleotides) under uncultured bacterium. RNAcentral describes it as "partial 16S ribosomal RNA". It matches the Rfam family "Bacterial small subunit ribosomal RNA", at positions 29 to 507 of the family's 1533-position model. The record is from RNAcentral.